Molecule: ribosomal RNA, 459 nt
Filed under: uncultured bacterium
Lineage: Bacteria
Description: partial 16S ribosomal RNA
Rfam family: Bacterial small subunit ribosomal RNA
Source: RNAcentral
CCUACGGGAGGCAGCAGUGAGGAAUAUUGGUCAAUGGUCGCGAGCCUGAACCAGCCAAGCCGCGUGAGGGAAGACGGUCCUAAGUAUUGUAAACCUCUUUUGUCAGGGAACAAAAGACGGCACGCGUCCCGGUCCGAGAGUACCCGAAGAAAAAGCAUCGGCUAACUCCGUGCCAGCAGCCGCGGUAAUACGGAGGAUGCGAGCGUUAUCCGGAUUUAUUGGGUUUAAAGGGUGCGCAGGCGGUAGUUGAAGUCAGCGGUCAAAGCCCGGGGCUCAACCCCGUCGAGCCGUUGAAACUGGUUGUCUUGAGUGAGUGAGAAGUAUGCGGAAUGCGCGGUGUAGCGGUGAAAUGCAUAGAUAUCGCGCAGAACUCCGAUUGCGAAGGCAGCAUACCGGCGCUACACUGACGCUGAGGCACGAAAGUGUGGGUAUCGAACAGGAUUAGAUACCCUUGUAGUC